CACGAAGCGGUGGAGCAUGUGGCUUAAUUCGACGCAACGCGAAGAACCUUACCAGGGCUUGACAUCCCCUGACCGCGUAUGAAAGUACGUUUUCACCCUCGGGUGACAGGGAGACAGGUGGUGCAUGGUUGUCGUCAGCUCGUGUCGUGAGAUGUUGGGUUAAGUCCCGCAACGAGCGCAACCCCUACGUUUAGUUGCUAACGCGUGAAGGCGAGCACUCUAGACGAACUGCCGUUGACAAAACGGAGGAAGUGGGGAUGACGUCAAAUCAUCAUGCCCCUUAUGUUCUGGGCUACACACGUGCUACAAUGGCCGGUACAGACGGACGCAAAGCCGCGAGGCGGAGCAAAUCCGAAAAAGCCGGUCUCAGUUCGGAUUGCAGGCUGCAAUUCGCCUGCAUGAAGUCGGAAUCGUUAGUAAUCGCAGGUCAGCAUACUGCGGUGAAUACGUUCCCGGGCCUU
RNAcentral lists this ribosomal RNA (461 nucleotides) under uncultured Pelotomaculum sp. RNAcentral describes it as "bacterial SSU rRNA". It matches the Rfam family "Bacterial small subunit ribosomal RNA", at positions 924 to 1382 of the family's 1533-position model. The record is from RNAcentral. Lineage: Bacteria; Bacillati; Bacillota; Clostridia; Eubacteriales; Desulfotomaculaceae.